Molecule: ribosomal RNA, 441 nt
Filed under: uncultured bacterium
Lineage: Bacteria
Description: bacterial SSU rRNA
Rfam family: Bacterial small subunit ribosomal RNA
Source: RNAcentral
AACGCGAAGAACCUUACCUGGGCUCGAAAUGCAGUGGACCGGGGUAGAAAUAUCCCUUCCCCUUAAAAGGCUGCUGCAUAGGUGCUGCAUGGCUGUCGUCAGCUCGUGUCGUGAGAUGUUGGGUUAAGUCCCGCAACGAGCGCAACCCUUAUCCCUAGUUGCCAUCGGGUCAAGCCGGGCACUCUAGUGAAACCGCCCCGGAUAACGGGGAGGAAGGUGGGGAUGACGUCAAGUCCUCAUGGCCUUUAUGUCCAGGGCUACACACGUGCUACAAUGGUCGGUACAAACCGUCGCAAACCCGCGAGGGGGAGCUAAUCGGAAAAAGCCGGCCUCAGUUCGGAUUGGAGUCUGCAACUCGACUCCAUGAAGCUGGAAUCGCUAGUAAUCGCGGAUCAGAACGCCGCGGUGAAUACGUUCCCGGGCCUUGUACACACCGCACGA